This 507-nucleotide ribosomal RNA is filed under the name uncultured bacterium. RNAcentral's name for it is "partial 16S ribosomal RNA". It matches the Rfam family "Bacterial small subunit ribosomal RNA", at positions 28 to 507 of the family's 1533-position model. The record is from RNAcentral.
GACGAACGCUGGCGGCGUGCCUAAUACAUGCAAGUCGAACGCUUCUUUCCUCCCGAGUGCUUGCACUCAAUUGGAAAGAGGAGUGGCGGACGGGUGAGUAACACGUGGGUAACCUACCCAUCAGAGGGGGAUAACACUUGGAAACAGGUGCUAAUACCGCAUAACAGUUUAUGCCGCAUGGCAUAAGAGUGAAAGGCGCUUUCGGGUGUCGCUGAUGGAUGGACCCGCGGUGCAUUAGCUAGUUGGUGAGGUAACGGCUCACCAAGGCCACGAUGCAUAGCCGACCUGAGAGGUGAUCGGCCACACUGGGACUGAGACACGGCCCAGACUCCUACGGGAGGCAGCAGUAGGGAAUCUUCGGCAAUGGACGAAAGUCUGACCGAGCAACGCCGCGUGAGUGAAGAAGGUUUUCGGAUCGUAAAACUCUGUUGUUAGAGAAGAACAAGGACGUUAGUAACUGAACGUCCCCUGACGGUAUCUAACCAGAAAGCCACGGCUAACUACGUG